This 161-nucleotide unclassified non-coding RNA is filed under the name uncultured Dothideomycetes. RNAcentral's name for it is "sequence contains ITS2". The record is from RNAcentral. Lineage: Eukaryota; Fungi; Ascomycota; Dothideomycetes.
AGAACCUCAAGCAACUGCUUGGUAUUGAGCGUCUCCGCCUGUUUUUUCAGGCGCGCUCGAAACUCGUGGGCGGUGGUGUCCAGCGUCGAAGCGUAGUCAUACAUUCCGCUCCCGACAACCUGGGCGUCCACCCGCCGGGCAACGAAUUUUUUACUUCUAGU